UUGUAAACUGCUUUUGCAGGGGAAUAAACCUAUCAACGUGUUGAUAGCUGAAUGUACUCUGAGAAUAAGGAUCGGCUAACUCCGUGC
This 87-nucleotide ribosomal RNA is filed under the name uncultured bacterium. RNAcentral's name for it is "partial 16S ribosomal RNA". The record is from RNAcentral.